CAAAACACAAUACGCUAUUGCCGAAGCUCGCUCGUGAUCAGUCUGUCUCUUUCACGCUACAAGCAAAUAAUUCCCCUUCUACUUUCUUCCGUGCUGUUUUCAUAUACCGCUCCCCUAACCAACUUAGUGACGAAACGGCCUCACCUAGUACCAUAGACCCGUCUUGAUUUGUUCAACACGGGGUCAUUUGUCAGUCCAACGUCAGUUCAAUGGUAUUUUGAUCAGGCUUCUCGGAAUUAGGACCCUGAAUGUGUUGUUUCUGUGCAGCUUUUUGAAACUGACAACCCUUGUUUCGUGCAUAUCGAUGGCUUGGAAGAACAAUAUCGUCGAAAACUGAUACCAACAGCUGUUCCUACUGUCAGAAAGGCCAACGAUUCUCAUGCCUCGAAAAAUCAAAACAGGACGGCUCGCUGGAAGGUCUAGAUUGAAAUCAAGCAAGAGUUGAAUCCAGGAAAAACAUCCGUAACAUCCACGGAAUCGGCUCAGC
Molecule: long non-coding RNA, 487 nt
Organism: Toxorhynchites rutilus septentrionalis
Lineage: Eukaryota; Metazoa; Arthropoda; Insecta; Diptera; Culicidae
Exons: 4
Source: RefSeq, a predicted model, not a curated record